GACGAACGCUGGCGGCGUGCUUAACACAUGCAAGUCGAACGGAAAGGCCCUUCCUGUAGGGUACGCGAGUGGCGAACGGGGGAGUGACACGUGGGAGAUCUGUCCCCUACUCCGGGAUAAGCGUGGGCAACAGGGUCUAAUACCGGAUAGGGGCCAUUCUUAGUGUGUCGGUUGGUAAGUUUUUUCGGUGUAGGGUGGGCUCGCGGCCUAUCGGCUUGGUGGUGGGGUUAUGGCCUACCAAGGCGGCGUCGGGUAGCCGGGCUGGGGGGGUGGACGGCCACGUUGGGGACGAGUAACGGCCCAAGCUCCUGCGGGGAGCAGCAGUGGGGAAUAUUGCACAAGGGGCGCAAGCCCGAUGGAGCGGCGGCCCGUGGGGGAUGGCGGCCCUCGGGUUGUAAACUCCUUUCGCUAGGGACGGAGCUUUUUGUGACGGUACCUGGAUAAGAAGCACCGGCUAACUACGUG
This 465-nucleotide ribosomal RNA is filed under the name uncultured bacterium. RNAcentral's name for it is "partial 16S ribosomal RNA". It matches the Rfam family "Bacterial small subunit ribosomal RNA", at positions 28 to 507 of the family's 1533-position model. The record is from RNAcentral.